RNAcentral lists this unclassified non-coding RNA (1367 nucleotides) under uncultured Neocallimastigales. RNAcentral's name for it is "partial contains internal transcribed spacer 1, 5.8S ribosomal RNA, internal transcribed spacer 2, and large subunit ribosomal RNA". The stretch from base 594 to 1367 matches the Rfam family "Eukaryotic large subunit ribosomal RNA", at positions 1 to 626 of the family's 3401-position model. The record is from RNAcentral. Lineage: Eukaryota; Fungi; Neocallimastigomycota; Neocallimastigomycetes; Neocallimastigales.
AAAAUAAUCCUACCCUUUGUGAAUUUUGUUUGUUUGAAUAAUCUUUUUUUUUUAAAAAAUUAUUGGAGUCUUUCCCUUUAGAGUUUGCUUUUGAGUCUGUAAAAGAAUUCGAAAACAUCUAAAGGGGAUGGUCAAUAAUUUUUUUUGAAAAAAGACAUUUUUUAAAAUUAAACUUUUUGUAUUCAUUUGUCUAAAAAUUAUUUUUAUAAUAUAAAAACAACUUUUGACAAUGGAUCUCUUGGUUCUCGCAACGAUGAAGAACGCAGCAAAAUGCGAUAAGUAGUGUGAAUUGCAGAAUACGUGAAUCAUCGAAUCUUUGAACGCAUAUUGCACUUUUUAGUUUACUAAAAAAGUAUGUCUGUUUGAGUAUCAGUAAAAUAUUCUCAUAAAAAUCAUUGGUAUUUUUAUGGUUAUGAGUGUUUUACAACGAUACAAGUUGUUUCACUUUAAAUUUUUUUUUAAUAUUGAAAUUUUUCUAAUUUUAAUAAUUAAAAUUGGAUAAAAUUUUCCCGUCAAAAGGAAUAACCUAAACAAUUUUAAAUGAUUAAUUUUAGCAAAAUUUUCGAAAAAGGAAAAUUUUUAUUAAAAUAACUUGAUCUCAAAUCAGAUAAGAGUACCCGCUGAACUUAAGCAUAUCAAUAAGCGUAGGAAAAGAAACUAACAAGGAUUCCCUUAGUAACGGCGAGUGAAGCGGGAAGAGCUCAAAUUUGAAAUCUUCAAGGUUUUACCUUGACGAAUUGUAGUUUAAAGAAGUGUUUUCUGCUGAAGUUUUGGUAAAAGUUCUUUGGAAUAGGACAUCAUAGAGGGUGAGAAUCCCGUAUUUGACCAUUAUUUUCAGCUUUGUGAUACACUUUCAAAGGGUCGGAUUGUUUGGGAAUGCAGUCCAAAACGGGUGGUAAAUUUCAUCUAAGGCUAAAUAUUGGCGAGAGACCGAUAGCGAACAAGUACCGUGAGGGAAAGAUGAAAAGAACUUUGAAAAGAGAGUUAAACAGUACGUGAAAUUGUCAAAAGGGAAGCGUUUGACACCAGUGUUGUUUUCUCGAAAAUCAAUUAAAAAUGGCUCGAUUUUGUAUUGCUGAGACCUUAAAAGCUCACUGUACAUUUUUCGUGUCUUUUUUAAUGCACUUUUCGUUUAACAAGUCAACAUCAGUUUCUUUUGUUGUAAAAGGGUCAUUGGAAGGUGGCUUUCUUUUCGGAGAAAGUGUUUAUAGCCUUUGGCCUCUGCAAUCGAAGAGACUGAGGUCUGCAGCGUAGACUCUUCGGGUUAGAUACAUUUGUGCUAAGUUAUAGCUUUUUAUAGACAACUUGUUGACUAUAAUUAGUCUUGUAGCUUUCUCGCUUAUGCUAUUUUACCUACGCUUAGGAUG